CCCGCUGAACUUAAGCAUAUCAAUAAGCGGAGGAAAAGAAACCAACAGGGAUUGCCCUAGUAACGGCGAGUGAAGCGGCAACAGCUCAAAUUUGAAAUCUGGCUUUGGCCCGAGUUGUAAUUUGCAGAGGAAGCUUCUGGCAACGCGCCGUCCGAGUCCCCUGGAACGGGGCGCCAUAGAGGGUGAGAGCCCCGUAUGGACGGAUGUCUAGCCUGUGUGAAGCUCCUUCGACGAGUCGAGUAGUUUGGGAAUGCUGCUCAAAAUGGGAGGUAAAUUCCUUCUAAAGCUAAAUAUUGGCCAGAGACCGAUAGCGCACAAGUAGAGUGAUCGAAAGAUGAAAAGCACUUUGAAAAGGGGGUUAAACAGCACGUGAAAUUGUUGAAAGGGAAGCGCUUGUGACCAGACUUGCGCCUGGCUGAUCAUCCGGUGUUCUCACCGGUGCACUCUGCCAGGCUCAGGCCAGCAUCGGUUUUCGUGGGGGGAUAAAGGUCUCGGGAACGUAGCUCCUCCGGGAGUGUUAUAGCCCGGGGCGUAAUGCCCUCGCGGGGACCGAGGUUCGCGCAUCUGCAAGGAUGCUGGCGUAAUGGUCAUCAGCGACCCGUCUUGAAACACGG
Molecule: ribosomal RNA, 614 nt
Filed under: uncultured fungus
Lineage: Eukaryota; Fungi
Description: eukaryotic LSU rRNA
Rfam family: Eukaryotic large subunit ribosomal RNA
Source: RNAcentral